This 464-nucleotide ribosomal RNA is filed under the name Vreelandella stevensii. RNAcentral's name for it is "partial 16S ribosomal RNA". It matches the Rfam family "Bacterial small subunit ribosomal RNA", at positions 338 to 794 of the family's 1533-position model. Lineage: Bacteria; Pseudomonadati; Pseudomonadota; Gammaproteobacteria; Oceanospirillales; Halomonadaceae. The record is from RNAcentral.
CCUACGGGUGGCAGCAGUGGGGAAUAUUGGACAAUGGGCGAAAGCCUGAUCCAGCCAUGCCGCGUGUGUGAAGAAGGCCUUCGGGUUGUAAAGCACUUUCAGUGGGGAAGAAAGCCUUGGGGCUAAUACCCUCGAGGAAGGACAUCACCCACAGAAGAAGCACCGGCUAACUCCGUGCCAGCAGCCGCGGUAAUACGGAGGGUGCGAGCGUUAAUCGGAAUUACUGGGCGUAAAGCGCGCGUAGGCGGUCUGAUAAGCCGGUUGUGAAAGCCCCGGGCUCAACCUGGGAACGGCAUCCGGAACUGUCAGGCUAGAGUGCAGGAGAGGAAGGUAGAAUUCCCGGUGUAGCGGUGAAAUGCGUAGAGAUCGGGAGGAAUAGCAGUGGCGAAGGCGGCCUUCUGGACUGACACUGACGCUGAGGUGCGAAAGCGUGGGUAGCAAACAGGAUUAGAUACCCUAGUAGC